Long non-coding RNA from Capsicum annuum, 1884 nucleotides. RefSeq lists it as uncharacterized. The record is from RefSeq and is a predicted model, not a curated record. NCBI's taxonomy places the organism in Eukaryota, Viridiplantae, Streptophyta, Magnoliopsida, Solanales, Solanaceae. The transcript is spliced from 3 exons.
AACUGCACUAUUAAAAUAAUAGCCGAUGGAUUUUCUUACUGUAGACUCAAAUUAAAACUCUCAAAAACAGUUUAUUGUUUUCUCUUUAAGGAAGGUUUAAUUGUCCUCUCAAAUCUAUAGGAUUCUCAAUCCUUAUAUAGAUAUUGUUUGCAAUGUUGUCAAUCGAAUACCCUUCCCCUUGCUCUCAGUUCUUCUUUGUUUGUGUAUUUUUAACCUACAUCUGUAUCACUGCUCACAUAUUGAAUGAAAACCCUCACUGGGGUACGUGAUCUGCUUCCUUUAUUUUUUCCCCUAAAAUCUCCUGAUAUGUUCUUAUUUAUAAUGUAAAGAUCAAUGAUUUGUGUGCUCUCUCUCAUUCCAAAACAAGUGCAAAUCGUUUCAUUAUUGUGUUAUACCUAUUCCCUCAAAAUGUAUAUCUGGAAAAAUUUCUUCUAUACAAUCUACUUCGUGUGUUUCUUUCUUUACAUCAAAGGAGUUAUUGUCAUGGAAGAACAAACAUUCAAAAGUAAUUGUAGCAGGUCGUUCGAGUAUCUAAGAGAUCUAUUUUGGUUGAAGGAAAGAUCAACGACUAUUAUCAUUACUUGGUACUUCAUUGUUUAAGUUAACUUAUACAAUCAACUUUUACUUCUGCUCAUUAUUGUGUCAACUAUCGUAGUUUCAACCAAUGAGGAUUUAAGAGAUUGUUACUACUUGAACUUUUUAAAAGAUCGUUGUGAUGUACAGGGCUAAGAAGAGCCCUAUAAAGACCAUAGCGACAAUAACCAAUUUUAUCAACAGUCAUGCGUUUAAAGGGCUGCAUUUUUUGCAUACUGAGAUAACGACAUUCUGAAUAUGAGUAAUCAAGCACAAUGUCGUUCAUGAUAAAAAUGUUCUCCUUUUGAAUUUCUGUCACGCACAUGUCAUAUAUUAGAUCAUGAAUCUUAAUUGUAAUUUGAUUAGAGUAAGUGUGUUUCUUAAUUGUAAGUGUUCUCUUUAUUCACAUUUCAUUUAUAACUCAUAAUUUGAUUAGAGUAAUUUUUUCACCUAUAAAUAUAAUUUAACUUGGUGUAAUAUUCUUAAUUGUAAGUGUUCUCUUAAUUCUACUGAUUCUAUUUUACUAUGGAAGUGUUCCCCUGGACAUAUGAACAUAUUCUCAUUUGAUUUAUGCCAAUAUAUUUGUACAAAGUUUGAAUAUUUAACUGACAUCUUUGAGAUCUGUGUACUUUCCAAAUAACCUCUUCUUCCCUUAAUUCAUCUAAUAGCACCACAAAAAAAAAAGCGACAUUAUUCCACAGAUUCAGAUAUCGUUUUUCAUUUUCUCAAUCUCAAUUUGCUUUUCCAAUAAGUGAAAAGAAAUCAACAUCAAAGUGUUCAAAGGAAAACCAUGAAACAGAUAAAAUCAACACGACAUGCGGCGGAUUCCUGAUUUUUACAUUUCAUUUAUAACUCAUAAUUUGAUUAGAGUAAUUUAUUCACCUAUAAAUAUAAUUUAACUUGGUCACAGAUAAAUUUGUUGUCUUCUAAUAUAAUGUGUAUAUUUGUUGCCCUUGAAAUUUAGAGAAAUUCUCGACUGAUCUAUUUGUCUUCUUAUUUGUUUGUUUGGUACAGGUAUUCCAAUUUCUUUGGAUGAUAUCAUUUAAUAGUAUUACAAUAACUUUGAACUUUUUCUAUUUUUUAUGGUUGAUAUUUUUUUUAUAUACAAAUUUGAUACAAGUAUGAUCAUGAUCAUGACACUUUUGAGUAUUUUUGAAGACUAGUCACUAAAGGCCCUUUUUGUCAUUUUGUCUAUUACUGUAAUGUACUAUAAAUAGAUCAUUGUAGGGUUUAUUUCUUUAGUUGAUCAUUAUUAUUGAAGAAUACUUCUCUUAGAGUGAGAGAGAGUCCAAUUGAAACUAGGGCAUAACA